UUAAUGGUGUAAAUUAAAGAAUCAAAAUCAAUUGAUUUUUUAUAAAAAGAUUUAUUUAUUAUUUAGAUUAAAAUCAAUAACUUUGAUCUUGAUUAAAAGUCAUCUAUUUUUAGGUAGUUGUUUAAUUUGGACUUUUCAUUUUGUACUUGCUUGAUGAAUUUUAUUAUAAUUUCAGAAUUUUCUAAAAAUUCGAUUUUACUUUAAAUCAUGUUUAAUGAUAUAGAUCUUAAAUUUGAAAGCUCUAUUAUUAUGGAAAACGAUUAUGAGUAUAAGAUAACUCUACUCUAUAUAUAUAUAUAUAUGGAC
This 306-nucleotide long non-coding RNA is filed under the name Ananas comosus (pineapple). RNAcentral's name for it is "long non-coding RNA (ACOM_LNC006459)". The record is from RNAcentral. Lineage: Eukaryota; Viridiplantae; Streptophyta; Magnoliopsida; Poales; Bromeliaceae.